This 492-nucleotide ribosomal RNA is filed under the name uncultured bacterium. RNAcentral's name for it is "partial 16S ribosomal RNA". It matches the Rfam family "Bacterial small subunit ribosomal RNA", at positions 29 to 507 of the family's 1533-position model. The record is from RNAcentral.
AUUGAACGCUGGCGGCAUGCCUAACACAUGCAAGUCGAACGGUAACAGGCAUCUGGGUGCUGACGACUGGGGCGCAGGUGAGUAAAGUACCGGAAAGUGUCCCGAGGAGGGGGAUAAAACGGCCAAAGAUGGGCGAAAAUCGCGUGUACGCUCUGGGGGAGAGCGGGGGACAAGGUCGGACCGUACGCCAUCGCGCGAUUGGAGGGCGCGAUGUCGGAUUAGGUAGUUGGUGGGGUAAAGGCCUACCAAGCCGACGAUCUGUAGCUGGUCUGAGAGGACGACCAGCCACACUGGAACUGAGACACGGCCCAGACUCCUACGGGAGGCAGCAGUGGGGAAUAUUGGACAAAGGGCGCAAGCCUGAUCCAGCAAUGCCGCGUGCGUGAAGAAGGCCUUCGGGUUGUAAAGCGCUUUUGUUCGGGACGAAAAGCAUCAAGCUAAUACCUGGCUGUUAUGACGGUACCGUAAGAAUAAGCACCGGCUAACUUCGUG